UACGAAGGGGGCUAGCGUUGUUCGGAAUUACUGGGCGUAAAGGGCGCGCAGGCGGUCCUUCAAGUCAGGCGUGAAAGCCCCGGGCUCAACCUGGGAACUGCAUUUGUGACUGCAUGGCUAGAGUUUGGCAGAGGGGGGUAGAAUUCCACGUGUAGCAGUGAAAUGCGUAGAUAUUCGGAAGAACACCAGUGGCGAAGGCGACUUACUGGACACAUAUUGACACUGAGGUGCGAAAGCGUGGGGAGCAAACAGG
This 253-nucleotide ribosomal RNA is filed under the name uncultured bacterium. RNAcentral's name for it is "partial 16S ribosomal RNA". It matches the Rfam family "Bacterial small subunit ribosomal RNA", at positions 524 to 776 of the family's 1533-position model. The record is from RNAcentral.